RNAcentral lists this ribosomal RNA (301 nucleotides) under uncultured bacterium. RNAcentral's name for it is "partial 16S ribosomal RNA". It matches the Rfam family "Bacterial small subunit ribosomal RNA", at positions 509 to 807 of the family's 1533-position model. The record is from RNAcentral.
CAGUCGCCGCGGGAAUACGAAGGGGGCUAGCGUUGUUCGGAUUUACUGGGCGUAAAGGGCGCGUAGGCGGACUGAUAAGUCAGGGGUGAAAUCCCAAGGCUCAACCUUGGAACUGCCUUUGAUACUGUUUGUCUUGAGUUCGAGAGAGGUAAGUGGAACUGCGAGUGUAGAGGUGAAAUUCGUAGAUAUUCGCAAGAACACCAGUGGCGAAGGCGGCUUACUGGCUCGAAACUGACGCUGAGGCGCGAAAGCGUGGGGAGCAAACAGGAUUAGAUACCCCAGUAGUCCCUGUCUCUUAUAC